GAUGAACGCUGGCGGCGUGCCUAAUACAUGCAAGUCGAGCGAACGGACGAGAAGCUUGCUUCUCUGAUGUUAGCGGCGGACGGGUGAGUAACACGUGGAUAACCUACCUAUAAGACUGGGAUAACUUCGGGAAACCGGAGCUAAUACCGGAUAAUAUUUUGAACCGCAUGGUUCAAAAGUGAAAGACGGUCUUGCUGUCACUUAUAGAUGGAUCCGCGCUGCAUUAGCUAGUUGGUAAGGUAACGGCUUACCAAGGCAACGAUGCAUAGCCGACCUGAGAGGGUGAUCGGCCACACUGGAACUGAGACACGGUCCAGACUCCUACGGGAGGCAGCAGUAGGGAAUAUUCCGCAAUGGGCGAAAGCCUGACGGAGCAACGCCGCGUGAGUGAUGAAGGUCUUCGGAUCGUAAAACUCUGUUAUUAGGGAAGAACAUAUGUGUAAGUAACUGUGCCCAUCUUGACGGUACCUAAUCAGAAAGCAACGGCUAACUACGUG
This 497-nucleotide ribosomal RNA is filed under the name uncultured bacterium. RNAcentral describes it as "partial 16S ribosomal RNA". It matches the Rfam family "Bacterial small subunit ribosomal RNA", at positions 28 to 507 of the family's 1533-position model. The record is from RNAcentral.